RNAcentral lists this ribosomal RNA (451 nucleotides) under uncultured bacterium. RNAcentral describes it as "partial 16S ribosomal RNA". It matches the Rfam family "Bacterial small subunit ribosomal RNA", at positions 354 to 796 of the family's 1533-position model. The record is from RNAcentral.
GUGGGGAAUAUUGGACAAUGGGGGGAACCCUGAUCCAGCCAUGCCGCGUGUGUGAAGAAGGCCUUUUGGUUGUAAAGCACUUUAAGCGAGGAGGAGGCUACCGAGAUUAAUACUCUUGGAUAGUGGACGUUACUCGCAGAAUAAGCACCGGCUAACUCUGUGCCAGCAGCCGCGGUAAUACAGAGGGUGCGAGCGUUAAUCGGAUUUACUGGGCGUAAAGCGCGCGUAGGUGGUUAAUUAAGUCAAAUGUGAAAUCCCCGAGCUUAACUUGGGAAUUGCAUUCGAUACUGGUUAGCUAGAGUAUGGGAGAGGAUGGUAGAAUUCCAGGUGUAGCGGUGAAAUGCGUAGAGAUCUGGAGGAAUACCGAUGGCGAAGGCAGCCAUCUGGCCUAAUACUGACACUGAGGUGCGAAAGCAUGGGGAGCAAACAGGAUUAGAAACCCUAGUAGUCC